UUUUUUUUUUUUUUUUUUUGUGUUGAGAAAUUCAACAAUGUUUUGCUCAGAGAUGGUGCGCGUAUCAGCUCUAAUCACGGCGUAUGAUAAACCAAAAGGACCUAAUUAUUGAGAGACCUCUUCUGACAUUCUCAAGACCUACUUAAUUUUGAUGUUUAGCAAAACCUUUCUACCACCCCCGCAAAAAAACAAAAAUGAAGAGGAAGAAAAAGGCUAAAAAGAAAAGAAAAUUAAAGCAAGGGGCAUAUAUGGAGCGCAGCCAAAUGCGCCGACCAACAACAAUGCAAUUGAUCAAGCGACAGCAAAAUGCCAGAGACUUCGAGGGCUCAUAUGAGCUUAAUAAAUGAUGACGCAUGCGCAGGCUUUGAGGGUCUAGUUUUGUUUUGCAAGUCUUUAGAACACUGCAAGUAAGUUGCGCCUUGACUAAACAUAAAACCGUCAAAAUAGAAAGGCAAUAGAUAGUGUACGUAAUAUGGUCUUAGAAAAUGGGAUUCCAAUUCUUGCUAGGGAGUAGGAUCAUUCUCUUAUAUCUACACAAGUAUUAGGCAAAAAAGUAAUUACUCCGUAUAAGUAUAAUAAGCCAAACGAGUCGACGGUUAGCAGUUGGAAUAUACAGGCGUGUAUACAAUACAGGCGUGGAUAAUUUCAUUUCAUUUUACAAGUUGAGUUGAGAUGUCAUCCAUAUCCCAAUUGAAACUGCGCCAAUUGUAGCCAAAGCUUGGGCCAACUCAUAUACCAAAUUUUGCUGCCGGAGAGGCACGCUUGCCCAGUCGGUCCGUCUGUACAUAGAAAAAACGGACAGCAAUAAUCAGUAAAAGAGCAUAUAAAAUUUCUCAAGAGUGAAGUAGUGUUGGUUUCGGUCGUAUGGAAUAUCUACUAACAACACAUCCCACAACCAGGAUUCAUAUAACAAAAUUACGUUCCCUUUUCUAAGGGGAAACAUCCAAAAGAAAGAAUAGCCUUCUUGCCAGCUUCGUGCACUAACCUUUCAUGUGAUCAAUCUUGUCUGGUUAGUGUCAUUGAACCUUGUACUAGAUGAGUUAGUAAGAGCUACCAAGAGAGACAUUUUUUGGUUGGUUACCGCCCUCAUUUAAAGCCAUCUCAUUUUACUUCUAGGUUAGGAAGACCAAAAUGACGAGAACGGACAUAAACCAGAAGAGCCAGCACGUACCCUAAAUCAGCAACCACAAUGCUGAUGUUAUCUUGUGACCCUCGUUCCUGUAGUAAUUAGCAAAUUUUCGGCAUAAGAGCUAUAAAAGCAAAUGAAUCUCAGAACGACCAUGGAGACAGUUUUUUUUUUUUUGAGUUGCAGUUUCCGUUUAUUACCAGUGCCGUCUGAGCAAGGGCUUCACAAGCUCUCUGUAAUCAGAGCAAAGAAAAUUAGAUAAUGCCUACUGUACUGCGGGAUCAAUUAAGGAGCCAUGGCAGAUUCCUUACCUGCACAUCUCCAUGUUCUCGAAGUUGAUUUCUAACAAAAUCAACUGCAUCUGAACUGAAACAUCGUAAAAUUUCUCAACCAUUAUGCUCUUCAGGAUGACUGGAUUACCAGUAUAAGGAAGAUGAAUGAAUGACUAAUUGCUUGAUAGGGCAAAAGGGCAAACUUCCAAAAGCUCUAAGAAUAAAACCUGUUUACGUAAUCCCACAAUCCAUCAGAUGCUAAUAUUACACAUUCAGCAUCUGAUUCCAAAGCAACUUGGGAAACAUCAGGACAUGCUGUAACCAAGUCUCCAGUAAAUUGUAUCCUGAAAUAAUCCCAAAAGGCUCUUGCAUUAUAAAAGAGAAGUUUGCAAAUUUUUUAUUAAUUCAAGAGUGGACUUCCUAAGGGAAGUCUAACUUAAAACUUCUCUUGAAGUGCAUUUGAGAUUUAUCAUGCUUCCAGCCUUAGUACCAAAUCUGUAAUGACCUAGGGAAUCAUCUUAUAAAAAUUUGAUUUGGCAUUUAUCUCACAUUUGGAACACAAUCUGACUCAUCAUUUUUUGCAUAAAAAUAAUUCAACAAAGGAUAACCUAAGGACAGCCCAAGAAAAUUUGAUUUUCCUGCACUGUAGAAGUGGUUGAUACUGAAUAGACAAAAUGUUAAAAACAGAUUCCACCAUAAUUAUUAUGGUCCAGCGCUUUAGGGACAACUAAAUUCACCACUCUAGUUUCAGCAGUGAUAAGAAUACAAGUGAACGAAAUACAUUUGUUUGUAGAAAAUGGAAUAUCACGUACCUGGAAAUGAACUUUUGGGACCACCUGCCUUCCUCAACUCCCUUCUCCAGCAUCCUUCACAGCAACAUGUAUAAAUAUUAACAGAAGAUUCAUAAUGCAUAGGAUCUCUUAGAUUCUCAAGUAGAUAUAUGGCAUGGCAACAAAUUCAUUGUGUCAAUUGAGGAUAAUGAGGAAUACACAUACUCAUUCUUCCUGGUCUUAAACCGCACGUCACCAAAAGCACGUGACACUGCAAUGUCUCCACAAAUUCUGCCAUUGCUUAUCUGUAGACACCACAUAAAAAAUUUCCAUUAUGUCUAUAUUUCUAUGCCCUGUUCUUAAAUUGCAAGAUAUGUCAGAACAAAAUGAGCUUAAUUGCGACAGGGAUAGCAAAAAAACUGUGUUAGCAAAAAGAAGGGGAAAAAAUUAAGGCAAGACUAUUCCACACCAUCCCAGGGAAAAGGUAAAAGUCUAGCAUUGUUUGUAAACUAAAAUGGAAUUAGCUUCAAUGUAUAGCCCUCAACUUGUAUUGAGCAGUUGUUAUCGACUUGAGCAAAAAAACAAAAAAGAAUUGUCCCCUAAAGUACCUAGUCAGCUAAGAACAAGGAGCAUAUUGAAAUUCAAGAAGUGUUAUUCAUUGUUUGAGUAGCAUAUUGGAAUUUUCAUGGCCAGUAAAUGCCCACUUGGUAAGGACUUGUCAUAGUAAUGGUAUUAAAAGACAUGACUUUAUCAGUUUUUCCUUUGAGAGAUUGAAUUUAACUCCAGAUGCAACACCGUGAAGGUUUUCAGAGCAUAGCAAAUGCAGAAAGAUCUAAUUCUAAGGGCAGCAUAAUCAUUCUAGACAAGAUAGCUGAUACAACUGAAAGAAAAGCAAUCAAAUUAAGAAUUCAAGAAAAGAAAACACACCCAUCCACCUGCUUCUCUGAUACGCCUGAUUUCUUCGAGAGACGCUUUGUUGCUUCCAUAUGGACGAUGAGAACUGGUUAACACUUCUGCUUUUCCAGAUCGUGACAGCACCUAAACCAAAGUGAUUGAUAAAGGAAAAGAGCUGGGUUUGGCAUCUGUUUGGUAUGAGUAGACCAUCACAAAAAAAAUGGAAAAGCAUAAUCAUGAAAACUUCAAAGAGAUUACCACGCAUGAGUCACCAACGUGAGAGAUGAACAAUGUAUCAUCUCCAAUUAGGAUCACAGUAGCUGUUGAGCCAGAAUCCCUCUCCUCAGCGCUCGUCUCAAGCCUUUACAAAAUCAAACAGCGUCUAAACCUUCAACGCAAUCAUAUACAAUGUAGAAUCAUAUUGAGACUAGAUUACAUGUCCAGCGCACAGAUAUUAAUGAGGCAGUAAGAAUCUUCACCAGGAAUAUACAUGGGUUUACCAGUUCAAGAGUUUCAUAUCAGCACUUUCAAAAGCCUCUUCUAACGCCUUCUUUACUGUGUCAAACCCCUUCUCCCUCAGUAAAAGUCCACCUUGUAAUGCUGCCACGCAUUCUUUGUACAACUCAUUUCUGGAACCAGUACAUUGAAUUAAGCAUCAAUUUUUCCCCAGUAAAAAGUAAUGUGGCGGUAGAAAUCAUGAAAGUUAACUGUAGCAGACCCCAGAAAAACCAUGAAGUUACUGGCACAAAAGUGAGGUUAAAUUACACAAUAGUAUUUUUUUUAGUAGUGAUUGAUUAGUGACACUUAGAUGAUCGCUGAAUACAUCCAGGGACUCCCUAUAGGAUUCAAUAAAAAUGGAGAAGCAAUUUAGAAAGCUGCAAAAGAUGGUACGGAUGACUCAGAGCAUCAAAAGCUCAUGCACUUCCCCCCCCCCCCCCCCUCUUAAUGGUUCGUAUGUAAUAAGCCACAGCACCAAUUAGCCAAACCUGAGAAAUUUGACAGAAGAGAAACCAGCAUGGCCGUCGAAAACAGCUGCAUAAGAGAAGCCAGCAAGAUCCUCUGACCGAACAAUAAUGACAUCAUCCUCCAUCUCUUCGCGGACACCUUGUACAAGGGAAGAACCCCAUCUAAUGCUGGAAACACCUGUCAAAGAAGAUGGGGCAUCAAUUGCAAUGGCUGAGCAGCAUCUGCCUCCCCCACCCUUAACCGCGACGGUGUUUUUUGUGGCCUUGUUGUUCAAUUCGUAGUUGCAGUAUCCCCUGUGGUUUAAGAGAAACCUCCGAAGUUGUGGGCUAGACAAAGCCAUUAAUGAAGUAGAAGUCUUGAUGAAAAGCAGAGCUUCAGAGGGGUUCCUGAACAACCUUUGAAGUUGCCAGCUUCUGCUGCUGUUUAUAGUACGGUGAGAAUGGGCCAAAGGAAAGCGUGUGGUUUAGAACGGGAAGGAUAAGAUUCUGGGAACGAAGCCUCACCUCUAACUAAUUUUAGCGGCUUAGAUUUCAGAUUCUGUCCACUCCAGAACAAAAAUUAUUAGUUCAAUUAUUCUUACAGAUCAAAUUUAUUAUUACAAGUUUUCUGGGAUGGAACCUCCAAGGAUAGGAAAUGGGAAUCACCAGCUCCAGUCAUGUCAACCGUAGAAUUUCGAUGUAAACCUGAAUUAUAAAUGAGUUGAUGCAAAAUUUACUACUAUUGUUGUGCUAAUUUAUUAGGUAAUUGGACAGACCCGUAACUAGAGUGGCCCGAAUUCACAAGGAUAUAUCAAUUAAUAGAUAACCCAAAAUUACACACUAAAACAAAAUGGAUUAAGUGACAACUUAGCUUUGGAUGUACGCUUACAUGUGCAUGAUUUAAAUUUUAAAUUUAAAUUUAUAUUAUAUAGCAAUGAUUUAAAUCUACCAACAUAAAAAUUAUAUACUGAGAGUGUAUAAAAAAUUAUCCAAACAAAAUUAUACACGAGUCUCAAUUCGUAUAUAACCCAAGAUUUACUCGAAAUUGGUAGACCAAUUUGCACAUUCUUGGAGAACUUAAAUGAUAUUAUAGACUCUUUUUGGGGGGGGGGGGAAAUUUUCUUAUCGUUAUUAAAGGGGGGAAAAAACUGAAUGUGUUCUUUGUAGAAUCAUACAAUAUCAUUUACAGACAUAUGGACUAUUAACAAUUUAAUUGGGGAAAAAAUGAAGCACUCCAAAUAGGCCCCUCUCCCCUCGGGUUUUGGAUGACGUUAAAGAUAACACUGCAAAUGAUUAAUGAAGAUUUCAUGCUCAGGGAAAUUGGCUUCACCUGACUACAUUUCACAGAAAUUUUUACCCGGAAAAUUAUGUACUUUACUAAUUACUACUCUGUUAUUUGGACAGAAGAUUAUUUGAAAUAAUUAUUAUAUCACUUUUUUGUGAUGUGCUGUGAAUGAAAUAAAAAGAUGUGUUAAAGAUUAUAUUUAUGAUGCAAGCAAAUAAUUUUUGGCUAAAUAAUGGCCGUCCAAACAAAAUAUUAAUGUGGUCGGUCAUAUUAAUUCCUGGUCGUCGUCGUCGUUCGAGUAGCAUGGGGUUCCCUCAAUUUCUUUCGCCUAGUUUAGCAUGAUCAUCCAAAGCUUGCGAGAAUUUUAAUUAUGAAAAUAUCUUUCUUUUUCACACGUACCAGGAAAACAAAAAGUCUUUUCACAUCGAAGAGAGACGUUAUCUAGUUCCACGAGAACAAAAAGAAAAUAAAAGGAAAAAAAAAAUGAAAAAAGCUAAUAGAAAAAAAAAAAAGAAUUUAAGAUAGCAGGGACAAUAUUGUUCAAACAUAUCAUUCAAGGGAGCAAAAUGCCCAUUAUUAUAGUUUAGGAGGUAAACUGCAGUUGGGUAUAUAAUUUGUGUGGGUUUUUUGCAUAUAACCCUAAUUUUUUUGAUAGAUCAUCCAGUUGUUUGUGCUAAUUUAUAGAGGCAAAGGUUAAACUGAUUUCAAAAACCAUCCUUACAUAGCCUAUUAUUAUAAAACCAAGAAACCAAGGCGAAAGGAAGAAAUGCUCGAGUGCUAAAAUCUGAAAGUAUGUUCUCAUCAUAAAAUCAACUUCGACCUGAAAUCCGGUGAACAUAAACAUCAUAUGCUCUUUUUUUUUCGGUUGACUGACAGCAUAUUCCAAAGAAAAAAGAAUAAAACACAGAAGGAACAGAAUGAGGCAUACUCUGAACAAUCUCAAGCUCAUGACCAAGGCAGAAAGCCAAUCUAUUCAAGCUUUGAAUAAAUUACUGGAGGAAAAGAAAUCAGGAGUCUUAAAAGAGCCAAACACGAAUUAAAAUUUGUCAAGGUCAAACUUUGAUUCAGUUGAUCCGCCUUCUGCAGCUUGAGCACAUUUAGAUCAGUAAAGGUUUGUAGCUGACAAGAACAUCAAAUCGACAAAGACUCUAAAUGCUCGUUUGCAUUCCACUUCCAGAGGACCACAGCACCACAAAUUUUAAAAUCAGUUAACUAAACAAUUUUCAUUUAAAAAAAAACAGAAAAUUUUUUUCACAUUCCAUCAGGUUCAUUUUAUCCAACAUGAGGUUACAGCCAAACAAAAACUACUUAGAUGCUUUGCUUGUCUGCAUUCCACAUCCACAGCACAACAACAAUGAAAAUCAGUUAGCUAAACAGAAAGAACUAAAAAUCUGAGAAGUUGUUCCACAUUCCAUGUCCUCCUUUUUCAGAAGUAACUUUCAGACCAAUAUUGACUGUUCCAAAAUUCCAAAGCCAAAUCCAACGUAUCUGAUACAAGCACUGUGGGCCCUUCAACAUUAUCAGCAAGAGAAUCUCGAGCAUGAAAAUGCUCGUAGCUCAAUUACCACAGCCGCGAGUGAAUAGAAAUUCAGAUGUACAAUCAAGAUAUGCCUUGCAUCAGACAAGGCUCAAACAGAACACCAAGAAAGACAGCAAUCAGCAAAUCAGCAGAUCAUGAAGUUUUUACAUCCCAUUAAGCAGGUAUGGCCAGGCAACCAAAGUCUAUGAUGCUUCCAAAAGCAAUUAAAACCACACCACAUUAGCGGCACAACUAAGGGCAAAGAGAUGCACAAAUACCAUAACAAGUAUACUAGUUUUGAAAAUCUUCUCAAUCCCCAUCAUUGAUACAAGAUUCUGCUUAUCGCUCUAAAAUUAUACAGUUCAAGAUAAGGAAUCCUAUCUAAGGUAUUGGAAAAAUUUUCCUUUGGAAAAACUUAUGUCAUCAUUGAACAUGGAUGGUUGAGUGAAACGAGAAUACAGCACAGCGCUGCAUGGUUGACAAUGUCCCUAGUGCAAACUAACUGCAAGAAGUCAAUGUUAAGACGAUCUAUGUCAAAUUUUAACGCAGUUAUGUUGGUGUUCUUUCAUAGCAAGAUUUCCUGCCCAGAGAUAAGGUCUAUUAGGAGCUUCCUCAUUUCGAUAGAGGUAGAGCUUCUUCAAUCCAAAUGACAUUGGAGUAACAUUGUCAAUUAAAUGCAUCUUGCUACAGCAGGAGACGGCAUUUUCUCCACUUCAAGAACUGAAAAAUGUGCAGAAACUCCUAAUAGAGAGUGACGCACAUGCAGGACUGUUUUGGAUUCAUAUCAAAGGGAAGUGCAUCACACGUGCACAAGUUGCUAAUCUUCAACUCAAAUAAGUGAUUAAUGCAUGGCCAAGAUGCAGCUCUCCCUCUCUCUAACCAUCCUUUUAUUUUCUUUUAACAAAAUUUCAUAAAUAGCAUUGAUAGGGGCACCUAACACCCUUCCAUUAUCAUUCCAAUUCUUGAUAAGAAGCUAAUGAAUUCAAGGUAUCAUUCCAAAGGUAUUAUGUUUUCAAUUCCAGAAGAAACCUACAAAAUGCAGUCCGGCUUAUGCUUGCAUUAGAUUUUCCAAAUGUCUGUGAAGGAUGUAGAGGGCACAAACACGUUGACAUAUAAAGUGAACCAAAGAACUAGGGCAGAAAAUGAAUAGUCUGUUGCGUCAUCGUAAUUUAAAAAAAAAAGAAUUAAAGAAGGAAAAGGGUGAAAUAGCUAUAGUGCUCAUCAAGCACAGAUUCAGUAAACAAGCUUAAAAACCAUCAUGUAGCACAAUAGUAAACUAAAUAAAUUGCACUUAGUGUUACAUUAACUUGUAUAAGAGUCUCCUAUAUUUUGAAGGCCAAAAGGAUAAGGAUCAUCUGCCAUGACCUAUAACAUUAUCCCGCAUGCCCUCCAACUUCAGAAUAGAUACCAGAUUUUGAGACGAAAAACAACAGCAAUAGAAAACGCUAACACGCUCUUAAGACAUCAGCAGCCACCACUCAAAUACGGCAACCCACCCAAUUCAAGCUGGACCUAGGGAAAGCGUCCAUUUGGAAAACGAUGUAAUUCGCAAAAGUCCAAGGCAUCGUAUCAUCUCUCGUGGUAGGUCCUACAUACAAGCGUUGUUCCAUUAUUUAGUGUGCUUUAAUGACCACUAUAUCUAACAAAACAUAGUGGCCAUAAACAUUAAGGGUUCAAGCGCAUCGAGUGUAUCACGUAUCACCUGUAGCUGCAUAAUUCAGCGUUUUCCACGAUGCCCGCCACCCGACCUUGCACCAGGGUAGCGAGCAAAUUGCAGCCUUAGACGCACAGAAUCACGGUCAUGCUCGUCGAAUUUAUAACCUGCAAGAUUAAGUUUGUCUAUUUUACGUGUCAUCCCAAGGUUUUUUUUGUUAUUACAACUGUGGGAUAUCAACUCAUUUUCAUAGUUGAAUUAUUGCUGCAUUGGAAACACAUAAACACACUCGUAUAAUAAUGUCCAUUUAUGCUAUUUACCAACUUUCAGCACACUAUGCAAGUCCACCAGAUAGAGUUCCACUAAUCUGUAUGUGCCCAAGGAAAAAAGAUAUCUUAAAUGCGGCCAAAAAAUCUUAUUCUUUUGCUAAAAGAGCUAUUGACUUUAUAUUAUCACCAAUCAACAAUUUCGAUCAUUAUGCAUAGAUAAUUUCCUGGAUUCUAAAGACGAAUAAUCUCACCAAUACCUGUCAUAUUUGAUCUCAAUGUGAAUUUCCCGGAAUGAAGAACAUGAAAUGGCACAACGUGAAGUCAGAAGUGUAAAAAUGAAAACUAAGCUGCACCAUUUCUGAAUCAACCCUAUCUGGAGAUAUAAGUUUCGGUUCAGAACAGACUAGUACAAGAGACUGCAUCCAACAUCAGGCUUGGUGGCACUAGCUGUUAGAUUCAUGAUCUCAGAUCCUGAAUUCACGCCUUCUGCUUCCUUUCUCACUCUUAAAUUGUCAAUAGAAACACAACUUAAAAUGCCAACUAUAACUAAAACCGGUAACCUGGUCAGACUUGCUAGUUGAUUUUAAACUCCAUUGUCAUCAAUACAGUCAUACAUGUCUGAGUGAAUCCAGACACGCAAAAUAUGGUGCUACCAUUUACUGGGUACCAAAUACAAAAAUGGGCACCCUUUGGAAUUGAUCAUCGUCUUAGCAACAUCUCCUAAUAUAAUAGAUGCAAAUUUAUGGCUCAAAAAGGAAAAGUCGUGAUAAUAUUAGUCCAACAGAUAAAAUUGGGCUUGCGUUGGUAACAAUAGUGGAGAUGUUGUGAUAAUAUUAGUGGAGCUGAUAAAAACAGAUGGUAUUGACAACAAUAGUGGUUCUUUUCAAUCUUCCAAGAUCUUGUGAGCAAUAGUGUUUCUUUCAAUCUUCCAUGAUUAAGCACAAGUUCAUAAUUAAGCCCAUAAUUCUUUACCUGUUCACUAUUCUUUUCAUGCGGAAAUGGUGUAACAAGUAUAACAUUGUAUUUCUUAAUCUUACCUUGUAAUGCAUCCAUUGCAGUAGCUGCAUAAGCUGGACUUGCAAAAUCAACAAAACAAAGGACCAACGGCUCACCUCCAGGCUGCAACAGUUCAUGGAAAUUCAGCGUAGCAGCAUAAAAAUACAUAUACAAAAGCCUUUAUGGAUUCAGGAAGAGGUAUAAAUUAGUGUCUAUACUUACAUGCCUCGAAUCUUUGGUUACAAGCCUCACUUCUUUGUAGCCUACAAAGGGGCGGAAUAUAUCUGCAUACCAGAGUGAAGGAAACCAAAGUAGAAUAGAAAUAUGAAAGCAGUGCUUUGAAAUCCCAAUCACAAAAGGAUACGAGAAACUUCUCGACGUGUGCAAUUGGCAGGCAAGCCCUCCACAAACAGCGUACUGGAAGCAUCAGGAGGAAGAGGAAGUUCAGAUCUUCCACCACCUACACCCAUGCUCCGGCUCUUUGUGCUCAUAGCUAAAUCAGAUCCCCCCAUGCCCACAAUUCGCGGAUCAUCAACAGGAUGUCCACCAAGUCCAUUACUCAUUGAUCUUGCAGACUCCCCACCAGAGUAAGAUGACAAUUGCUGUUGAAUAGCAAAAGUGUGUCAGACACAAGCACAAAUAGGUGAAAUUCACCUAACCUGGCGAUCUAAAUUUGAAGAGUAAAACCUAAUGCCAAAAAAUACCGAGCUACGUAGGUAACGGUCAUAAGAUGCUCCAAUAGGGUCAGUAUCUCUGAUGACACGGUGUGAUACCCUUUCAUCUUCGCGAGCAUAGUAGUUCGACAAUUCAUGGCCACUAGGCACAUCUGCCACAUAAAAAAGAACACAUCAAAGUCAAUCAUAGAGGUCCAAACAUGGUCAGUUUAGUAGCCAAUUUGAAGUAUGGCAUAAUAACUGUAUGCCAUUCAUGUAAAAUAAAAAUUUAUAUAAGAAAAGAAACAUCAACUCUGGAUGCCCUGUUUUCCUAUGUCCUCAUAAUUCCUAACUUUACCAAAAUUAAGCCGGCCACAACAACAGUAAUGAUUGUAAUAAAAAUAGCACGGCAUCUCUUAUUUCUCUUUUCUCAUCCCCUAAAGUGAGAUAAAUUAGUUUUGAUGGGGGUCAACACAAUCAUCUACUCUUAAAAAUAAUCUAUACAAUUGGCUAAAUCUACUUUACCCAAAUUUUCAAGAGCCAUCUUUUGCAUUCACUCGGAAGAAAUCAAAGAUCGCUUUUUUUUCUUUUUUGGUUUUACUGCUUUUGCAAAACACAGUGAUUCUGCAAGUAAUACCCAAACAAAACAAUCCCCAAAACCCUAGCUUAGAGAAAAAAUCGACGAAAACAGGUAAAAUUGGAAACAAACGGUGGAAUAUAUUAUUAAUACCGUAAUCAGAACGAAGACGUUUCGCGACCGGCAACUGAAGAGUCGCCGAGGCCUGCUGCCGGCUGUCGCUGUACCUCCAAUACGCUUCGGCCAUUGAAUUCCGCCCUUAAUUUUUUUUCUUUUCUAAUUAUUUUGAUCGAAGUAAACAGGAAAACCCAAGCGUGCACCUAACAAUCUCUCGAGCGAGCGCUUGUGUUUGUGUUACUGUUAAAACUAGCCCCGGCCGCGCCACGCACCUGCACUAUUUCCUCUUUUUUGCAUUCUCCCUCUCCUUCUUUUGUCCCUGUUAAAGACCGCAGAUUAACGAGAUUACCCUUCGGUUCUUAAUAUAACUAUAUAUAACCAAAAGGUUAAAACAAAAAAUAUAGAUCAAAAAGUUAAAUCGCUAUCCAAUAUUGACCCAUAUUUCUCUGCAUCGAGGUGGUGGUCGGAUGGUAAAGAAAGUAGUUAAAUUAAAUCCAGUCAAAAUCAAUCAUUUAGAAGGAUUUUAAUAAAUAAUUAAUACCUUAAAAAUUUUAUGGGGUAGUUACAAUGAAAUCAAGAAAUUUUUUUAAAAAUAUUUUUUAAUACAUGAUGUAAUUUAAGUUGUAUUAAAAAUUAAAACAAUCUUUUCAUUUAUGUGAUUUGAAAUACGAAUCCUACUUAUAGAAAAAAAUUAUAAAUAAGUUAGAAUUAAAUAAAUUAAUAAAAAAUAAUUUAAUGACCAGAUAUACAUCUAAGAAUAUCCUUUUUUUUUGUUAGAAUAUCAUUCGUUAUAUUAAGAAAUAGUUGUUAUAUAUCUACAAAAUUACUCGUUAUUACAUUUAUAACCGUUCAUAUUUUCAUAUUUUUACUUUUUAACGUCAUUUAAUUUUUUAUUAUCAUUGUAAACUUCACAAGUAGUGUAACAUAAGGGUUGUGUUAGAAUAAAAUUCUUAUAUUUAUUGCAUUUCUAAUAACAAAAAAAUCAAUCCCAAAGAGGUACGUGAGAUUUUGAAAACCUAAGUGGUGCUAAGUAAUAUUAUAAAAAAUGUCAAGGAAGGUUUUAGAAAUUAUCCCUUUAGAGACACAAGUUUAUUAUUUGCAAUAAAAUUUUCCACGCAUUUGGGAUUGCAAUUCAAAAACCGAAAAAAAAGUAGAAUAGGAAAAAAAUGACAAUUCAUUAGGAUUAAAAAGUAUAUAUGAAAUUGGUUUUGUGGUGCCUCUAAAAUUUUUCUUCAAUUCUUUUUUUUUUUUCAAAAUUUGUUAAAGAAAAAAAUGCCUUUUUUAAAAUGUUAUGUUUACCCUAAUUCACCACCAAGCUAUUAAUACAAAAGAAGGUUCACCCUCUAUUUUGAGGAGGAAAAAAAAUUUUUUUUUUUUUGGGUAAUGCUUUUUAGUAGCUUCAUGUCCGUCAAAUUUUAAGAUAAUAAAUCUCAAUACUCUAAUGCUUGAUCGUAUAGAGUGAGAGUUUCAGCUCUUCAAUUUUUUCAGAUAAUUUGUCUCAAAUGUUGACAGAAAUACACCGUAUGCAAUUGCAUGGGAGAUCCGUCACCUUGCUCACUAGCCCCAUUGUAAUCAAGGCAGAUUUCGGUCUGCCAUUCCAAGCCAAAGGCCAAACUGCGAGCAUAACUCAUAACCCCGAGCACCGUCUCGUUAUCAAUUUUUGCACUAGCGGAACCAAAUCAUUUGUCAACUGUAAUGUCAGCUCAAACGCUCGAACUAUUAUAGAAAUCAGUAGGAAAAGACGGAUAAACACUGACUGCAAAUAUUACAAGAAACUAAUCUGACAAAGUUUGUCUAUCAGAUUAUUUUUACAAUUUACAACAUCUACGACAAUCUAAAGCUCUUCUCUCAAAUAACCAGGACCAGGAUUGAAUGGAUCGGACUCCAAGUAUGCUUCUGGACGAGACGUCCCAGCAUCAUUCAUUCGAUUGCUCAGUACAUGAAGGAUAGCCUUCUUUGCACCAUAUU
This 13044-nucleotide long non-coding RNA is filed under the name Coffea arabica (coffee). RNAcentral's name for it is "long non-coding RNA (CARA_LNC001451)". Lineage: Eukaryota; Viridiplantae; Streptophyta; Magnoliopsida; Gentianales; Rubiaceae. The record is from RNAcentral.